RNAcentral lists this ribosomal RNA (625 nucleotides) under Pseudomonas sp. Its description in RNAcentral is "bacterial SSU rRNA". It matches the Rfam family "Bacterial small subunit ribosomal RNA", at positions 46 to 665 of the family's 1533-position model. The record is from RNAcentral. Lineage: Bacteria; Pseudomonadati; Pseudomonadota; Gammaproteobacteria; Pseudomonadales; Pseudomonadaceae.
GCCUAANACAUGCAAGUCGAGCGGAUGAAGAGAGCUUGCUCUCUGAUUUAGCGGCGGACGGGUGAGUANUGCCUAGGAAUCUGCCUGGUAGUGGGGGAUAACGUUCCGAAAGGAACGCUAAUACCGCAUACGUCCUACGGGAGAAAGCAGGGGACCUUCGGGCCUUGCGCUAUCAGAUGAGCCUAGGUCGGAUUAGCUAGUUGGUGAGGUAAUGGCUCACCAAGGCGACGAUCCGUAACUGGUCUGAGAGGAUGAUCAGUCACACUGGAACUGAGACACGGUCCAGACUCCUACGGGAGGCAGCAGUGGGGAAUAUUGGACAAUGGGCGAAAGCCUGAUCCAGCCAUGCCGCGUGUGUGAAGAAGGUCUUCGGAUUGUAAAGCACUUUAAGUUGGGAGGAAGGGCAUUAACCUAAUACGUUAGUGUUUUGACGUUACCAACAGAAUAAGCACCGGCUAACUUCGUGCCAGCAGCCGCGGUAAUACGAAGGGUGCAAGCGUUAAUCGGAAUUACUGGGCGUAAAGCGCGCGUAGGUGGUUCGUUAAGUUGGAUGUGAAAAGCCCCGGGCUCAACCUGGGAACUGCAUCCAAAACUGGCGAGCUAGAGUACGGUAGAGGGNAGUGGA